AAUUUUGCGCAAUGGGCGAAAGCCUGACGCAGCAACGCCGCGUGAAUGUUAAGCCCCUCGGGGUGUAAAGUUCUGUCAGUGGGGACGAAACUUGACGGUACCCACAGAGGAAGCACCGGCUAACUCCGUGCCAGCAGCCGCGGUAAUACGGAGGGUGCAAGCGUUGUCCGGAAUCAUUGGGCGUAAAGAGUUCGUAGGUGGCAUGUUAAGUCUGGUGUUAAAUCCCGAAGCUCAACUUCGGUCCUGCACUGGAUACUGGCAAGCUAGAAUGCGGUAGAGGUAAGGGGAAUUCCUGGUGUAGCGGUGAAAUGCGUAGAUAUCAGGAGGAACAUCGGCGGCGAAAGCGCCUUACCGGGCCGUAAUUGACACUGAGGAACGAAAGCCGGGGUAGCAAAUGGG
Molecule: ribosomal RNA, 399 nt
Filed under: uncultured bacterium
Lineage: Bacteria
Description: bacterial SSU rRNA
Rfam family: Bacterial small subunit ribosomal RNA
Source: RNAcentral